Molecule: non-coding RNA, 490 nt
Organism: Cinara cedri
Lineage: Eukaryota; Metazoa; Arthropoda; Insecta; Hemiptera; Aphididae
Source: the annotation of a GenBank genome assembly
AUUAAUAAUAAUAUCCCUUUUUCUAUACGCGUAUACAUUUUUUUAAAAUAAUGAACCACUUCACGUGAACUGAAAAACAUUAACGUAAAACAUUAUACUUGUUUUAACAUUUUGAAAUGUACACAAUCUCAUAAUAUUGUGAACACAUACUCUUAAGUCCGUUGUUUGCUAUAUUGUAAAUCACACGCAUUUCAAAUUCCGGAUAUCCUGGUCCCCGCACAAUUUAAUAUUGUGAAUCAUAUAGUAUAGAACCGAAUCUACAUUAUAAUAAAUAAUAAAACUUUUGCCACUAUAAACAUUGCAUUAUUUAUGAAUCUCUUGUGAUAAAUACUUUAUUAUUAAUUUAACAAGAGCUGUGUUUAAUUUUCGUGAACGGCCAUAAAUUCCGUGGAAUAUUGCAAUAAAAUUGCAAUGAUUGUGUAUUUUUUUUUUAAAAUUAAAUCCAAAAACCUAGACUGGGUUGUGUUUUCUCCGAUUCCUGUAUUCAAAC